GAAUCCAAUGCAGGAAGCUCAUCCUUCCAGCGUCUUGGGCCAGCAUGUCGUCGACUCGCUCGACGUGGCCUCGAAUCGAUAGGUCUCGUGUAGAACGGACGAGCUCCUUUGGGACAACGGACCGUUCGAGGGGACCACUGUAACCGGGCCUUCUCUGGCCUCUGA
Molecule: unclassified non-coding RNA, 165 nt
Filed under: uncultured Ascomycota
Lineage: Eukaryota; Fungi; Ascomycota
Description: sequence contains ITS2
Source: RNAcentral